This 484-nucleotide ribosomal RNA is filed under the name uncultured bacterium. Its description in RNAcentral is "bacterial SSU rRNA". It matches the Rfam family "Bacterial small subunit ribosomal RNA", at positions 30 to 507 of the family's 1533-position model. The record is from RNAcentral.
AUUGAACGCUGGCGGCAUGCCUUACACAUGCAAGUCGAACGGCAGCACGGGAGCAAUCCUGGUGGCGAGUGGCGAACGGGUGAGUAAUAUAUCGGAACGUGCCCAGUCGUGGGGGAUAACGCAGCGAAAGUUGUGCUAAUACCGCAUACGAUCUAUGGAUGAAAGCGGGGGAUCGCAAGACCUCGCGCGAUUGGAGCGGCCGAUAUCAGAUUAGCUAGUUGGUGGGGUAAAAGCCCACCAAGGCGACGAUCUGUAGCUGGUCUGAGAGGACGACCAGCCACACUGGAACUGAGACACGGUCCAGACUCCUACGGGAGGCAGCAGUGGGGAAUUUUGGACAAUGGGCGCAAGCCUGAUCCAGCAAUGCCGCGUGCAGGAUGAAGGCCUUCGGGUUGUAAACUGCUUUUGUACGGAACGAAACGGCGAGCUCUAAUAAAGUUUGCUAAUGACGGUACCGUAAGAAUAAGCACCGGCUAACUACGUG